UCCCUGCUGGGGGCUAUUGUUCAGAUGCAGCACUCCAAUAGGUACAAUGGGCCACAGCAAUCCUGUGAUUUUUGCAUGGCAUCUCAGCAGCUGCCAUAGCCCGGUCACUGGUACAUGG
Cavia porcellus (domestic guinea pig) is the source of this 118-nucleotide small nucleolar RNA. Ensembl annotates it as small nucleolar RNA SNORA84. The record is from Ensembl. Lineage: Eukaryota; Metazoa; Chordata; Mammalia; Rodentia; Caviidae.